This 539-nucleotide ribosomal RNA is filed under the name [Candida] sp. RNAcentral describes it as "Candida sp. (in: Saccharomycetales) partial large subunit ribosomal RNA". It matches the Rfam family "Eukaryotic large subunit ribosomal RNA", at positions 53 to 605 of the family's 3401-position model. The record is from RNAcentral. Lineage: Eukaryota; Fungi; Ascomycota; Saccharomycetes; Saccharomycetales.
GAGGAAAAGAAACCAACAGGGAUUGCCUCAGUAACGGCGAGUGAGCGGCACAGCUCAAUUUGAAAUCUGGCCUCACGGUCCGAGUUGUAAUUUGUAGAGGAUGCUUUUGGCGAGGUGCUUUCCGAGUUCCCUGGAACGGGACGCCAUAGAGGGUGAGAGCCCCGUACGGUAAGACCACCGAGCCUCUGUAAAGCUCCUUCGACGAGUCGAGUAGUUUGGGAAUGCUGCUCUAAAUGGGAGGUGUACGUCUUCUAAAGCUAAAUACCGGCCAGAGACCGAUAGCGCACAAGUAGAGUGAUCGAAAGAUGAAAAGCACUUUGAAAAGAGGGUUAAAAAGUACGUGAAAUUGUUGAAAGGGAAGCAUUCAUGACCAGACUUGGGCUUGGUUGAACAUCCGGCGUUCUCGCCGGUGCACUCUGCCAGUCCAGGCCAGCAUCAGUUUGCCCCGGGGGACAAAGGCGGUGGGAAUGUGGCUCCCUUCGGGGAGUGUUAUAGCCCGCCGUGUAAUGCCCUGGGGCGGACUGAGGAACGCGCUCGGC